GUAGUCCCGAGUGAUAAGAUCUUCAAUCCGCUUUUUGAUUGCUUUGAAAUCAGGCUACACACAAGUUUUAUAAUUUUAGGAUAGGUACGAUAGAAAAAUUCAACAAUUAGAAUACACAAACAAACAUCUCUCUCGAAAUAGAGCCCAUAACUAUAUUUCAGGAUAGAACUAUUUGGGAGGCGGAGAAGACACUUGCAAAGAGAAUAUGAUAAGAUAUAAUAGAAAAAUUCAACAAUCAGGAUAAAACUAUUUGGGAGGCGGAGAAGACACUUGCAAAGAGAAUAUGAUAAGAUAUUGGCAAUCUUUUGUUACAAAUUUUACACCUCAAAGCACAGAAUUCUCAGCACUCCACAUAUCCUACUAUAUACCUUAUAGUUUUGAGGUGGUGAACAUACCCAGCACAAAAGAAAAUAUACACAUAUAUAACAAACUAGAGGUCACGGACAAAAUGAUAUUUUCACUAUUUCCUUCGCAGACAUCCUUCCCAGGCAACUUGAGGGUGUGGGGCGGGACGGGGGGAGGGAUUAUAUGCUUACUUUCCCUCAAAAAGGUCACUCCAUGUUGGACUGAAAUAACCCUCUUUUCAUUUAACAUUUUGAUGAAGAGAGUUCAAAAAAAAAAAGGAUAGCAGGUCACAGAGAAGGCAACAUCCUCCUGUUGCCCCCGUCAUAUUAGUUGGUAAGAAACGGAAAAUAACAGGGAAAAAAAAAGGUAAAGGAAAAAAUAAAUCUAAUAAAGAAACUGAAAGAUUUCAUUCUCGCAUCCUAUAUUAGAUGGCUAGUCGAGCAACAGGCUCAGUAUAAUGCAACCUUCAAAAGUCAACCAUGCACCAUAAAUGCAGAAGUAAGAGGGUACAAUCAUACGUAUCCUUCUUUCCCGAUUUUUUUUUUUUGAAGGAGCAGACAACAAGUGAUAACAGUUGGAGAUAUUCUACUAGCAAACAGAAAACUAAGAGGGUACAAUCAUACGAAUCCUUCUUUUCCCGAAUUUUUUUUUUUUGAAGGAGCAGACAACAAGUGAUAACAGUUGGAGAUAUUCUACUAGCAAACAUCCUAAUAAAGAAACUGAAAGAUUUCAUUCUCGCAUCCUAUAUUGAUGGCUAGUCGAGCAACAGGCUCAGUAUAAUGCAACCUUCAAAAGUCAACCAUGCACCAUAAAUGCAGAAGUAAGAGGGUACAAUCAUACGUAUCCUUCUUUCCCGAUUUUUUUUUUUUGAAGGAGCAGACAACAAGUGAUAACAGUUGGAGAUAUUCUACUAGCAAACAGAUCCCUUGUUAAAACAAAAUGAAAACAAAUUUUAAGCAACAUGCAAUUAGAUAGUAAGCAAGAAAAAAUGGAAUGUCC
Molecule: long non-coding RNA, 1344 nt
Filed under: Nicotiana benthamiana
Lineage: Eukaryota; Viridiplantae; Streptophyta; Magnoliopsida; Solanales; Solanaceae
Description: long non-coding RNA (NBEN_LNC037409)
Source: RNAcentral